CUACGGGCUGCUGCAGUGAGGAAUAUUGCACAAUGGGGGGAACCCUGAUGCAGCAACGCCGCGUGGAGGAUGACGCAUUUCGGUGUGUAAACUCCUUUUAUAUGUCAAGAAAAUGACGGUAGCAUAUGAAUAAGCACCGGCUAACUCCGUGCCAGCAGCCGCGGUGAUACGGAGGGUGCAAGCGUUACUCGGAAUCACUGGGCGUAAAGGACGCGUAGGCGGGUUGGAAAGUCAGGUGUGAAAUCCUACAGCUUAACUGUUGAACUGCACUUGAAACUUCUAAUCUAGAGUAUGGGAGGGGGAGAUGGAAUUAGUGGUGUAGGGGUAAAAUCCGUAGAUAUCACUAGGAAUACCUAAAGCGAAGGCGAUCUCCUGGAACAUUACUGACGCUAAGGCGUGAAAGCGUGGGGAGCAAACAGGAUUAGAUACCCCCGUAGUC
Molecule: ribosomal RNA, 439 nt
Filed under: uncultured bacterium
Lineage: Bacteria
Description: partial 16S ribosomal RNA
Rfam family: Bacterial small subunit ribosomal RNA
Source: RNAcentral